Molecule: ribosomal RNA, 433 nt
Filed under: uncultured bacterium
Lineage: Bacteria
Description: partial 16S ribosomal RNA
Rfam family: Bacterial small subunit ribosomal RNA
Source: RNAcentral
AACGAACGCUGGCGGCAUGCCUAACACAUGCAAGUCGAACGAGAGCUUCGUGUGUAGUGGCGCACGGGGGCGUAACGUGUGGGAAGGUGCCCUUAGGCUCGGAAUAACUCUCUGAAAGGGGGGCUAAUACCGGGAAACGUAUGCGGACAAAAGGUAGGUCGUCUUUGGAUGCGCCGGAGUUGUUUUAGCUUGGUGCGAGGGUAAAAGCCUAUGAAGGCGUCGCUCGAUAGCUGGGCUGAGAGGAUGAUCAGCCACACUGAGACUAGGACACGGCCCAGACUCCUGCGGGAGGCAGCAGUGGGGAAUAUUGGACUAUCGGCGAAAGCCUGAUCCAGCAAUGCCGCGUGAGUGAUGAAGGCCUUAGGGUUGUAAAGCUCUUUUACCCGGGAUGAUAAUGACAGUACCGGGAGAAUAAGCACCGGCUAACUCCGUG